UGACCUUCGGGGUGGGGGAGACAGAGACAAGAGGGCAGACACAACAGCCCUCCAGCUCUGGACGUGGAGGCAGGACCCUGAGUGCUUAGAAGGAAAUGACAGGCCGCCUCAUUCACAAUGGAAGGAAACUGAGGUGGGGAAAGGAAGACUCAGGCAGGAACCCUCCCUGCCCCCCAGACGGGGCUAAGAUGCCCUGGCACAGCCCCCUCUCCAGAAGGAGACACUGUGGAUCGAAGGCCUGCUGGGUGCCAGGCUCCACCAUCGGUGUCUUCCAUGCUUCAUUAGCCCAUUAAGUCCCACCACCAGGAAAGGGCAGUGGAGCAGCCUCGGCUGGCUGUGUCCUCACGUGGGUCUCCUGACCUCCUCAACCUCAGCUCUCUGUCUGGGAAACCGGGUGCCAGGUCAGUGUCAGGACCUUGAUGACGCCCUCCCUCCGGGCAGCGGAGUUCCCAAAGUGCUGAGGUAGCAUUUCUGAUUCCAUCCCCACAAUGACUCCAUUUAACAGAGGAGGAAACUGAG
Bubalus bubalis (water buffalo) is the source of this 519-nucleotide long non-coding RNA. RefSeq lists it as uncharacterized. NCBI's taxonomy places the organism in Eukaryota, Metazoa, Chordata, Mammalia, Artiodactyla, Bovidae. The transcript is spliced from 4 exons. The record is from RefSeq and is a predicted model, not a curated record.